This 473-nucleotide ribosomal RNA is filed under the name uncultured bacterium. RNAcentral describes it as "bacterial SSU rRNA". It matches the Rfam family "Bacterial small subunit ribosomal RNA", at positions 28 to 517 of the family's 1533-position model. The record is from RNAcentral.
GACGAACGCUGGCGGCGUGCUUAACACAUGCAAGUCGAGCGAUGAAGCACCUUCGGGUGUGAAUUAGCGGCGAACGGGUGAGGAACACGUGAAGAAUCUGCCUUCAACUCUGGGAUAACUCCGGGAAACCGGGGCUAAUACCGGAUAUGAGCCUUGAUCGCAUGAUCGGGGCUGGAAAGUUUUUCGGUUGAAGAUGACUUCGCGGCCUAUCAGCUUGUUGGUGAGGUAAUGGCUCACCAAGGCGACGACGGGUAGCCGGCCUGAGAGGGCGACCGGCCACACUGGGACUGAGACACGGCCCAGACUCCUACGGGAGGCAGCAGUGGGGAAUAUUGGGCAAUGGAGGAAACUCUGACCCAGCGACGCCGCGUGAGGGAUGAAGGCCUUCGGUUGUAACCGUCUUCAGUAGGAAGAAGACGAAAGUGACGGUACCUACAGAAGAAGACACCGGCUAACUAUAGUGCCAGCAGCCG